GAGUGUUGGUAAGGAGGUUUUUGUUUUCUUUUGUUUGUUCUUGUCUUUUUUGUUUUGUUUAUUAGGUACCAUGGCUGCGUAUAAUUUCAAGGCCACGUGUGAUCGCAUCCAUGACGAUCUUGAAGAUAUGCAACAACACAUUGAAAUUAUACGUCAAUUAUUACCCAAACUCUUUCCUCAAAAUCCAAUUGGCCAAACAACUGCGAUAAGAGCUUUCUGAAAGAAGUUGCUGCCCAAUCUUGUAAAGACGAACAUACUCAUGAACGUCAAGGUAAAAUAGCUAACCCUUACACUUUUGUGCAUGUGAAUGAUAAUUGUGUGGCUAGUAGCCCAUUGAGUGUGAGUUGUAGCUUGCCUAUAUGUGAUUCUAUUGUUUCUUUGACACUUGAUGAUGAUAUACUUGUUGUGAGUGUGGAUACACUAGUUGAUCCUAUUGAUGACCGAAUUGACUCUUCUUGUAAGAUCGAUUUAUGUCCACCUAGUGUUGAAAUCAUUGUGUUGAAUGAAAGUAUAUCGUCUUGUGAAAUUUAUGUUGAUCAACUUUUGUAUGAAAAUUGUCCACCACUUGAGGAUGUGUGUGAUGUGAUUAAUGAAUCUCAAGUGUUUGAUGAUGUUGAAAAUAUUAAUCAAAGGAAUAGGAGUAAACCCGAGAGCUAUUCUUGGGAUAAUCUUGCAUUUGAAAUCUCUUUGAAACUUGAUAUUGAUCUUUUAGAGAGUGAUGAACGUGUUUGUUCCGAAUAUGCCCGUGAUAUAGAUCAUGCUCUCUUAAGGUAUAAUGUCUUGUUUGAAGAUGAUAUAACCACUCCUAAUGAACCUAGUGGUGCAAAUGAUGGUAUAGCUUGCCUUAGAAGCUAUAGUCGAUAUGCUAAUCCACUAUGGUGUGAAAACAUUCCUCCUAAAGAUGAAAAUCUCUUCUUGAAAGAUGAGAGUACUCUUAAGGGUAAGGGAUGUGUGGAUUUGAAAACUACUUCUCCUUCUACUUUGUGUGACUUUAUUGUUGAGAGUACUCAUGGUGAUGAUUGUGAAACUAGUAGUGAGUACACACAUGAGGGCACCUUAGUAGAAGUCGACUUGAGUGAUACCUUUCUCUACUUUCAAUUUGCUCUGGAUAAUAUGUAUGUUAUUGUAGAGAGUAUGCCGUUUAUUUUGGGUGGAGACCACGGGAAAGGGGAGUGUUGUCUAGACCUGUAUCUAUGGCCACUCUUCCUGUUUGACCCCGGUGCCAAAUAUAGAAUUGGUGAUGAUGGUGCACCCAACUUGUUGCUUGGUUUACAUGACAAGCAAAGUAUUAUUUUUGGUGAAUUCUAUAGCCAAAUCCUUUGUGCAUUUUUCAUUAAUUAUGUAAUAUUUAGUUCAAAGAUCCUUGGUUAUAUUCUAAAUAUGUGAAACCUUGGCAUGUUGAGGUGAUUUGUCGUGUUUACCCUAACCCUCAUGCCAUGAGGAGUUUGUAUUUGUGUGUCCUUUCUUUGGUUUUGCAAGGUUUGGAUUCGAGGUCGAAUCAUUUUCAAGAAGGGGAGGAUGAUAUGAUUCAAUUGGCCUCCUUAGCUUUCAAUGACAUCAUUCGAAGUCAGUACGUGGGGUAUCAAACUUUGGUCACAUUAAGGAAACGGGAUCCUACAUGGAGGGGCCGAUUUGACUACACCAAGAGCAAUCCCACAUGUGAAAGAUUGCUUGGAGUAUUGAAGAUUAAGGACUCACGGUUUUGGGCCUUCAUUAAGGACAUUUUGGUUACUUAGCCUUGUCCAAGUGACACUCCAUGACCACCCCUUUUCAUUAAGGGUAUUGUGGUCAUUUUGUUAUGUAAUAAGUUAGACUAUAAAUAGGUUCUAUUAGUUCAUUUGCUAGUUAGUUUAUGAAAGAUGAAAGAUUGAAACACUUGAAAUCCUCUCUCUUGAGUGUAGACCACCUUAGUAUAGUCUUAGUUAGGACUUGGAAAAGGCAUCCUUAGUAUAGGGCUUGAAAAAGCCAAUAUUGUUCUCUGCUUGGAAACAGUGGAUCUUAAGGUGAGUCGAUUACCUUGGCGGUGACUGUAAGAGUGUGGUUUUGAUUAUUACAUUCAUUAGGGGUUAAUGUUGAAAUAUACUUGGUUUUUAAUCUUGUAAUAAUCUUGGUCUCACUAUCUAUCCUUUCAUUAUUUUGCAAAUUCAUGUGUUUUUGUGUUUGUCAUCUUGUUUCCUUUUGUGUUGCUUGUUUUUCUCACAUUUGUGGAUUGUUUGGGCAUCUUGGUGGACUGAUUUGUAUCAAAUCCAUUCUUUCUUUCAUUUAUAGAAUAUGCCUCCUCGCAGAGAUAAUGCCCAUAGAAAUGAUAACCAGCUACCUCAGCCCGUAGAUUCUUCGAAUGAGAAUGUGUCAUAUGCAGAAUUGCGGGCAGCCUUUCAGGCGCUAGCCCAAGCUAUGACAACUAGUUUUCAGGGUAACCGUCCGGCUGCAGCCUAACCUUAGCAAGAUGGCGGUUCAAUCGCAUCCAAAAUCAGAGAUUUCAUGAAUAUAAACCCGUCAGAAUUCUUUGGGUCAGUAGCAGGUGAGGACCCAUAACUUUAUCUUGGGAAGGUGAAGAAGAUCACCCAGAUUAUGCAUGUGUCUGAGGAGGAGAGUGUAGAAUUAGCAUCCUAUAGGUUGAAGGAUGUUGCUCAUGAUUGGGUAGUGAUAUGGAAGAAGCGUAGAGGGAAGGAUGCAACUCCCAUGACUUGGCAGGUAUUUCAGGAUGCAUUUUUAGAUACGUUUUUCCCACUCGAGAUCAGAGAAGUUAAGGUAGAAGAGUUCAUGAACCUAAGGCAAGGAUCCAUGACAGUGAAGGAGUAUUGCCUUAAGUUCAACCUGUUAGCUAAGUAUGCUCCUGAUUUGAUGGCUGACCCUAGAUCUAGCAUGAGUAAGUUUGUGAAUGGUGUGUCCGGGUUGGUAUUGAAGGAGUGUAGGACUGCUAUGCUCAAUAGAGAUAUGGAUCUUGCUAGGCUAAUGAUGCACGCUCAACAGAUUGAGGCCGAUAAGAUGAAGGAAAAAGAGACAGUGAAUAAGAAAGCCAAAAUAGGUAGUUAUAGAUUCUCUUAGGUAGGGUCACAGGGUGGUAACCGUUUUCAGCAUAGUCAGAAGUUUUUAGUCCCAGCUCUAUCCUCCGCUAGUGUACCAACACCAAACUUCAGGGAUGUCAGUUAUGAUGGGGCGCUACGCUCCAAAGCCCAGAUUAUCAUGAGAAGUGAGCGUACCUAUCCACUUUGUAAAGAAUGUGAAAAAAAUCACCUAGGUAUAUGUAGAGCAGGCAGCGAGGUAUGUUUUGGAUGUGGUAAGUUAGGCCAUAGGAUACGGGAGUGUAGAGUGCUAGAACAGAGGGGAUAAGAUUUGCGUCAGCAGGGCACCAAUAGUGGUCAGCGUCAGAAUAGAUUUUAUGCACUCCAAACCCAUCAUGAUUCAAAAAGUUUCCUUAAUAUAUAUUCGGGUAUGUUAUAAGUCCUUCAUCUUCAUUAUAUGCUUUGUUAGAUCUCUUACUCCUAUUUAAGCUUAAGUUUUCAGCAUGAGUUAGUCAGUAAGGCCAAUAAUUCAGUUUAGCAGUCAGACAGUUAAAUUCAUAUAGUUUGUUUUUCCUAUCUUUCCAUCUAGAUAUAUUAUCAGAAUGUCUAAGGAGUGUAGCUAUUCCAAGAUAGAGCAUCCAAGUAGUUGCGAGUUCAUCUUAGUUCAUGAGUCGUACAUUAGUUUCAGAUCCCAGAUGUUUAGUCAUGAUCCAGCUCGUAGGUGCCUUGUGCAUCGCCACAGUUUUCCUCAAGGGUCUCAAUAAAGUAAGCCUUCUUAGAGGGACAUAGUGUCCCAAGGGGGAGAUACCCUAUGGUUUCAUGACCUUAAACCCAUUCGGUUUCAUGCUUAGAUUUUCCUUACAAACUUAAUAUCAGUUAUCAUUGCAUACUCAAUCAUGCAUUCAAGAGUCAGUUCAGUCAAAUAUUCGUGCAUUAGAUAUGCAUGUUCAAUAGAAGAAGCUCAAGCUUAUCAAUAAUUUCAGUCAUGCUUUCAUGAGAAUCAACUCAGUCAGAUAUCUAUGCAUUAGAUAUGCAUGUUCAGUAUGAGAUUUCAGAAUAUCAGUAGUUCCAGUCUUAUAGUUAUGUUUCAGAUGUUCACGUCCCUUAUGUAAGUUCAGUCUAUCAGUAAUAUCAGCCUAGUCAGUCCCAUUCGAGGACGAAUGUUUCCAAGGGAGAAAUAUUGUAAGACCCCGUAAAUUCUCCUAGUCGUUAAAACUCUUUAAAGUAUGUCAAGGGAAGCUUCACACUUAAAAAAUUUGGCUAAGUUUUGGAACUUUUUCAUUUCAUAAGACUUCAAACUUUGAUGAUUUAUUUCAUGACCUUCCCGACCUUCGAUAGUUGAUAUUUUAGCUAAUUCUUGAUCCAGAAUAUCAAUAGGGGUUCCCGAACAAGUUUUGAAUUUUUUGAACCUCGUUUAGACCACAUUUGGGGUCUCAAAAUAGUAGAUCAACGUGAUCAUGGCCCGCCACCAUCGCCUAUCACAUUGGUUAACAAUGUUGUAGGCUGCCAGAAUAAAAAAUAUUGAGGCCCGAUGCGAUCAUGACGCAAUGCAUUGGCUAUCGCAUCGACCAACGCGUCGGCACCCAGUUUUCCAGUCAUUAAUAUAGCCGCUACCCCAGGGUUAUUUCAGUUUUUUCCCCACUCUUAUAUAACCCUAAAACACAUGAUUCAGCCAUAUUUCACCUGAACUGUAGUGGUUUCUCUCAAUUUCUCUCAAGAAGAAGUUUAGGGUUUCCAAUUGACAAUCCAAAUUCAAGAAAAUUCCACCGUCAAUCUUUGUAAAAUCAAUAACUAAGGUAUGUUAGAUGUUGAUUCUUGGGUUCCUUCCACCCAAGAAGUUCAAGAAUCCUGUUCUAAAAUUCAAAGAUUAUAUAUUUAUGAGUUUUCAUGAUUCAUGUGAAUUGAAAUUGAAGUUCAUGUUGUUAUUGAGUUUUUAAUUCAUGUUUUGUUUACAAAGUUCCAAGCUUUGAUCCUAGCAUGUGAUAUUUAUGUGAUGUUCAUGAUAAACCCUUUCAAGUUGCAUGUUGAUUGAUGUAUCCAUGAUAAUUAGGUGUAGAAAUUGUUGUAUAACCAAAGCAUGCUCCCCAUAUGUUUGAUAAAAUGCUUAUGUGAAGGAAAUAGAAUCAUUAUAGCAUGUUGACAAGAAAUCCCCAAUUGUGUAUAAGUUAAUGCAUGCCAAGUGUUUGUUGAAAAACCUUAGUGAAUGAAUUAUGAUAUGUUGCAUGCAUUCCUACUCAUGUGCAUUCCUUAUUGAAUGAAUUAUUAGAUAAUAGUAUGCACUCCCUAUACAUUUACAUGUUUAAGACUUCCAAUUGCUUGAAGAGAUGCCUCAUUGAUUGUGUUGUGAAUGAUAGCCUAUUGCCAUUUUAUGUACGAGUUGUCCUGUCUUGUAUUAUUUAUGUUAUCGAGUCCUGGGGGUAUUUAUACCCGACAAAUUAGAGCUUGUCUAGAGCCAGUGUCAUUUUCAUAAUAAUCUCAGUCAUGCCAUGAUUAGUAGUACUCUCAGUCAGUUGCAAAACUUAGUAGAACUCAGACAGUUACAGAACUUAUAAAAUUUCAGUAAUCUUAGUAUCAGUAGCAUUCCAGCUUCAGUUCAGUAAUAGAUUCAGAACUCAAUAAUAUUCCAUCAGUCAACGGAACUCAGUGAAUUUAGUUUAGCUCAGUCAAACAAGUACGAUCAGUAACAUUUCAGUCAAGCCUAGUAUGAAUUAGUAAUUAGUUCAGUGUCUUUCAGUUGGGAGUAGGAUUUAGCACCGAGCGAACCUAGGGAUGGGGGCUCACCCGCUAGAUACGACUAAGAUUCUUAGAAGCAAUACCUAUGUUCUAGAACUACGUAGCCAGCGUAGGUAUGAGAUGUCACCCAUUAGAUAGGAUUGACAUACUCCGGGGUCACCCGCUAGUACAUGAUUGGUCUAAGGGGUCACCCGCUAGAUUAAGAAUGACCCCAUAACAGUUGUCUUUAUCUGUGGCAUGGUGCUGACACCCUUCCAGCUGGGGUUACAGGUUGGACCCCACUAGUUCAGAUUCGGGGCAUGUCUCUUAGAUAACUACCUCCCAUAGUCCCAUCUUUAGAAUCAGUCUCAGUAAAAGAACUCAGCUCAGUAGCAUAGAUUCAGGACUGUUAGAUACAGUCACCCAUUGGUAUUAUCAAUAGAUUUAGAGAUCACCCGCUAAAUAGGACUGAUCUCAGAUUUAGUCAAGCAAUAUCAAUAUCAGUACCAACAGAUUCAGAGAUCACCCGUUAGAUAGGACUGAUCUCAAAUACAGUCAAUCAGUAUGAAGUACCAUUAGAUUCAGAGAUCACCCGCUAGAUAGGACUGAUCUCAGAUUUAGUUAAUCAUCUUCAUUAUUAGUAUAUUUAGAGAUUACCCGCUAGAAACGACUGAUCUCAGCCUCAGUCAAUCAGAUAUCAGUAGACUCAGUUAUCAGAAUUCCAGUUAUUAGAAUUUGGUAUUCAGUGUUCCUAUGAUUUCAAUUAUAGUUGUGCAUUCAUGUAUGUAUCCUCAUUCAAUAUACUCAGAUGAUUUUGUCUGUAUUGGUCAUGCAUAUGAACCCUUACAUUUAGCCUUACCUAAUCUAGCAUACCAGUACAUUCUACCUACUGAAGCAUACUUUUCUGCGCUAUGGUGUUUGAUACCAUAGGUUCAGAAGUACGAGAUCCAGAGCACCCUUAGCAGUUCAGAUUCAGUCAGCAGCAGUAGACAUAGCAGUGAGUCCUUAUCAUUCGAGGAUAAUCUUUAUUUUACUAUUGCACUAGAUUCAGUAUUUUAGUAGACGGAGUUAGUUGGGGACUUGUCCCAUCAACUCCACAGUUCAGACAGUUUAGAGGAUUUUCAGACGGAUGAAUUAGUAUGUAGUUUUCAAUUGCAUUUCAGAUAUUUGAACCUCAUGGCAAUGUUUCUGCCAGUUUUCUGCAUUUUUAUAGUGUAUUAUGCAGUGCUCAGU
RNAcentral lists this long non-coding RNA (6950 nucleotides) under Capsicum annuum. RNAcentral's name for it is "long non-coding RNA (CANN_LNC001161)". Lineage: Eukaryota; Viridiplantae; Streptophyta; Magnoliopsida; Solanales; Solanaceae. The record is from RNAcentral.